ACUAACAUGGUCUGAUAAACAUCUACCAGGUAACUACUAGUGACACUAACAUGGUCUGAUAAACAUCUACCAGUUAACUACUAGACUACUAGUGACAGUAACAUGGUCUGAUAAACAUCUACCAGGUAACUACUAGACUACUAGUGACUAACAUGGUCUGCUAAACAUCUACCAGGUA
Salmo salar (Atlantic salmon) is the source of this 178-nucleotide non-coding RNA. The record is from RefSeq and is a predicted model, not a curated record. NCBI's taxonomy places the organism in Eukaryota, Metazoa, Chordata, Actinopteri, Salmoniformes, Salmonidae.